RNAcentral lists this long non-coding RNA (389 nucleotides) under Lathyrus oleraceus (garden pea). RNAcentral describes it as "Pisum sativum (pea) long non-coding RNA (PSAT_LNC023238)". Lineage: Eukaryota; Viridiplantae; Streptophyta; Magnoliopsida; Fabales; Fabaceae. The record is from RNAcentral.
UCACUUUACGAAUUUUGGAUAGAAAUUAUGGGGAUGUUCAUACUCUAAAGGUAACUUUCUUAUUUUUGGAAUUUGCAAUAGUCAUCAAUCCAUUUCAUUAUGGAAAUAUGACUUGUUAGGUAGUAUAUAAUGAGACUGAAUGUGAUUUUCUUUAAAAAAAAAUUAUAAUGAAGUGAAAGAUGAGAAAUAUAUUUCUAUCAUAAAGGAAAAAAGAAUAUUGGAAGAAUUUAUGCUUUAUUGUUAUCAUAGUAUUAAUGUAUAAGUUGAUUAUGUAAUCUUAAUCAUGUAGCCAUAAAUUGAUAUGGGUCUGAAAUGGUGUAAUCUACAUAUGUUGUAACCUUUAAUGUGUAAUGAUGUUUUUAAUGAACUUAUGUUGUUUCAAAAUUACA